GAAUAUUGAGAAGUGAGUCUAUUGAAUAAAUUAAAAAUUGAUUUAUGAGUUAUUGAUUAUGUAAUUGGAGUAUUGAAAGAAUUAAAUUAUGACGAGUUAUUAAAAGAUUAUAAUUAUUGUUUAUUGAAAGCUGUGUGUGUUUUGGACAAAGAAAGUUAGUGAUUAUAGAAAUUUUGUGAAUUCUAAUUAGUUGGAGUGAAGUUUAUUAUUUCUGGUGUUGGAUGGAAAUUAUGUGUUUUGAGUGGUCUUUUGAUAGUGUAGGAUUGCACAUUAUUGUUAUCAGUUGACAAAGGAGUAUUGUUACUGGGAAAAAGUAUUUUAUUAUUUCUUAGUAUUUAAGUGGUUCGAAAUAUGGUUAAUUGUAUGA
This 367-nucleotide long non-coding RNA is filed under the name Physcomitrium patens. Its description in RNAcentral is "long non-coding RNA (PPAT_LNC013906)". Lineage: Eukaryota; Viridiplantae; Streptophyta; Bryopsida; Funariales; Funariaceae. The record is from RNAcentral.